Molecule: transfer RNA, 76 nt
Filed under: Clostridiaceae bacterium
Lineage: Bacteria; Bacillati; Bacillota; Clostridia; Eubacteriales; Clostridiaceae
Also listed under: 1 other name
Description: tRNA-Pro
Rfam family: tRNA
About the family: Transfer RNA (tRNA) molecules are approximately 80 nucleotides in length. Their secondary structure includes four short double-helical elements and three loops (D, anti-codon, and T loops).
Source: RNAcentral
CGGGGUGUGGCUCAGGUGGUAGAGCGCCUGCUUCGGGAGCAGGAGGCCGCUGGUUCAAGUCCAGUCACUCCGACCA